GAGUUUGAUCAUGGCUCCAGGACGAACGCUGGCGGCGUGCUUAACACAUGCAACGUGGAGCGACGAACCAGGCUUCGGCCUGGGGCAAAGCCGCGAACGGGUGAGUAUCACGUGGGUAACCUGCCCCGAUGACCGGGAUAACCCGAGGAAACUCGAGCUAAUACCGGAUGUGCUCGCGGCACAUCAGUGCAGUGAGUAAAGGAAGCUUCGGCCUCCGCAUUGGGAU
This 226-nucleotide ribosomal RNA is filed under the name uncultured bacterium. RNAcentral's name for it is "partial 16S ribosomal RNA". It matches the Rfam family "Bacterial small subunit ribosomal RNA", at positions 9 to 226 of the family's 1533-position model. The record is from RNAcentral.